AGGAUGAACGCUAGCGGCAGGCUUAACACAUGCAAGUCGAGGGGUAUAUUUCUUUCGGAGAUAGAGACCGGCGCACGGGUGCGUAACGCGUAUGCAAUUUACCUUUUUACAGAGGGAUAGCCCAGAGAAAAUUUGGAUUAAUACCUCAUAGUAUAUAGCCCUGGCAUCAGGAUUAUAUUAAAGUCACAACGGUAAAAGAUGAGCAUGCGUCCCAUUAGCUAGUUGGUAAGGUAACGGCUUACCAAGGCUACGAU
Molecule: ribosomal RNA, 254 nt
Filed under: uncultured bacterium
Lineage: Bacteria
Description: partial small subunit ribosomal RNA
Rfam family: Bacterial small subunit ribosomal RNA
Source: RNAcentral